Molecule: unclassified non-coding RNA, 360 nt
Filed under: Hevea brasiliensis (rubber tree)
Lineage: Eukaryota; Viridiplantae; Streptophyta; Magnoliopsida; Malpighiales; Euphorbiaceae
Source: RNAcentral
GGCUCAGCAUCCAUCUGCAAUUGACUCAUCUUCAUAUAUAAAUGAUCAGUUUCGUCUGACUAAAUGGCAUUUGAUGUGCUUUAACUGACCAAACUGCUACACAAUCAAGGCUCUCCUGAAGUGAAUCCAUCCUUCUCCUGUACAAGAAUUUCAAUCAUAACGUAUUACCCAUCAAAUUAACAUGAACCAUUGAGUACGAAGUACGUGAGAGCUAAUAAACAGGCAUAAGAAAGAGACCAGUAAAUAAGAAUUUGAAUUUCACUUCACCUAAACUAUUAUGUUACUUGAUAAAUAUUUUUCAAAGUUUAAAUACUUUUCGAAGUUCCUUUUUCUUUUAUUCUUCUGCCUCAUUUCCAUUCU